Molecule: long non-coding RNA, 1371 nt
Filed under: Homo sapiens (human)
Lineage: Eukaryota; Metazoa; Chordata; Mammalia; Primates; Hominidae
Description: HSALNT0342913
Source: RNAcentral
UUUAACCAGAAGAUUCUUUUUCCUCUCUAUCAAGUCAUCACUUUCCACAUUUUAUGGAAAGAAGUUUUAUCUUUUCUUGUUAAGCUAUUGGUGAAUUUUUAACUUUGGGGUUUUGUUUCGGAUAGGUAUUGGGAGAAGGAGAGGCUGUCAACCCAUGCCACUAUGCUAUCUCUAAUUCUGCCAUCCAGACCGAGCAAACGUACUUAAGACCUUUGUGUAAGAUCAGAAAAUCAUAAGACAGCAUUAAAAAGUACUAUACAGGAGGAGAUGGAACAAGAUGGCCAAAUAGAAGCCUCCAGCAAUCAUCUCCCCGAAAGGAAUUGAACAACUAUCAAAACAAAAUUGAACAACUAUCUAAACAAAAAAGUACCUUCAUAAAAAACAAAAAUCAGGACAAUAUCAGAACGGCACAUACAAGUGUCCCCAAGUCAUAUUUGGAAUAAGAUCACUUGGGAACACAAGUCAAAGAAGGACACAGUGUUCUGCCUCUCCUGAGUAAGCAGCAACAACGCACCAUCUUGGAAUCAGGGGACGGCCCUCACCAGACAACUAAAUCUGCAGACACCUUGGACUUCCCAGCCUCCAGAACUGUCUUUCUGGCAACUGUCUAAACAUAAACCAGAGAAGGGCAAGGCAGACUCAGGAAGGACAAAUAGAAGGCUAUUUUCAUAAAUCGGACCACCACCACAUGUGCAGCAUCCCUCUGGGUCUCUUCCAUGACAACCCUGUGGGAAGCCAGGCAAGUGAGAAUCAAUGUAAACAUGAAGUUCAUGCUGCUUACUGUGUCGUGAUAAUGUCCUUGUCUCCCAAUCAGGAGCCUCAUGUCUUCUUGCCAGCCUCUGUGGAACUGUGCUUGGCAGGUCACCUUGUUCUAGCAGAUAGAAACUGAAUCAAUAUGGGAAGAGCCAGAAUUUGGACAAGGUUCACCAAACAUUCACACUGAUGCCAGGUGGGCCAAGAAAAAGGGAAUGUCCUGCCUCUGAGAAACUCAUCAUACAGUUUGGAGAUAACAUUUGUUGAAGGAGAGAAGAAAAGAGGAGAGAGGAAUGGAGUGAGGCAGAAAGGAAAUGAUGACGAGCUACUCUUCAAAAUUAAGCUGGAUAACAACAAGAAAUUCUAGAAAGCAAUUGAGGCAACCUCCACCCUAAGACCCAGGUAAACCCUACAUUUAAAGUGCUGUUCUGGGGCACAGUGAAAGAUUUCUGCCAGAAAAUUUGCUCCCUAGGAUUUACAUGAUGAUGAGAUUACAUGCUGCCUUGUGGCAACAAAAUCAAAAGUCUGUAAAAGAAAAAGCGUGCUAUGCUUCUGAAUGUUUGGAGAUCCUACAAUAGAUUUUUCAUUCAGCUAUUUUGUUGCUGCUUCAUGAGCACA